Triticum urartu is the source of this 136-nucleotide non-coding RNA. NCBI's taxonomy places the organism in Eukaryota, Viridiplantae, Streptophyta, Magnoliopsida, Poales, Poaceae. The record is from Rfam.
UACAUACUCCAUCCGUUCCGAAUUACUUGUCUUAGAUUUGUUUAGAUACGGAGAUAUCUAGCACUAAAAUGAGUCUAGAUACAUCCGUAUCUAAAACAAAUCCAAAACAAGUAAUUCGGAACGGACGGAAUAUCUG